Felis catus (domestic cat) is the source of this 1337-nucleotide long non-coding RNA. RefSeq lists it as uncharacterized. NCBI's taxonomy places the organism in Eukaryota, Metazoa, Chordata, Mammalia, Carnivora, Felidae. The record is from RefSeq and is a predicted model, not a curated record. The transcript is spliced from 3 exons.
UGGUAGGACAAAGAGGGUGCACCAAGCCCUAAGAGCCCAGGUGAAGGCCUCCAGGAGACAAGAUGCUAGGCCAUCGCUGAAGAUGUCAACCUUGGCUGGACCUCACCUCUUCCGUGGCCUACCUUCCAGCCCUGGCCACCAGCCCCACUGGCUGCAGAGACCACUGGAUGUGAUGCUCUGGCAGCAAGCUCUUCAAAUCCCACCUCUUCCACUGACUAGCUGGGUCACCAUUGGCUAGUUGCUUAGCCUCUUUGAGCCUCAGUUUCUUUAUCUACAAAAAUGGGGAUAACGGUGGCUAUCCUAUCAAUUUUACUAAAAAUUAUGUGAGAGAGUGUUGAUAAAGCACUGGCUUAGUACCAGGCCUAUAGCAAAUGCCAAACCCGUGUCAUGGUUGUUGGUGUUAUUGGAGGCUUGCUGUGGGUGGAAGCGAACUCAUCGGUGCUCCCUGGUUGUGCUGCUGUCUCCUCCCCUUUGUCCUCUGGCAUCCUGUCUUCUGUACCAAUUGGCUCCCUCCCUCCAUUCAUGGCAAAAUUUGAGCUCAUUUCUCUCUUGCCUUUCAGUUUAAAAACUUGGCUUGCAUUCUUCCCAGGAACAGAACAAAUGGGCCUGUGCUUACAGGGGCUAAAGGAUUCUGAUAGGAAAGUUCCUCAGGAUCUUGGGGCAAGGUCAGGAAAGGUUGCCUUCUUAUCUCAGUGCUUGGAAAUUGGCAUAAGCAAGAACAGGUGAGGGGAGGGACUUGGCCACUUUUUAAAUGGAAGGGACAGUUGUUCCACUUGUGAGCGGUGAGUUCUUGGUAAAAUGGUGUUAGCUUUCUGAGGCCUGGGUGGUUGUGGCUGAGGCAGCUCUUUGUCUACCACAGACGCAUUCUCUCCCUUCUGCCCUUCCCUGGUGAGAGGUGCCUGUAUAGCCAGAAAUCCCUCGUCCUGGCUGUACUUUGUUGAAAUGCAGCCAUAUGACUCUCUCUAAAGGGAUGUGAGUGGCAGUGAUGUGUGCCACUUCUGAGCAGAGGCUCUCUCUUUCCAUUGGCAGGAAACAAAGGACUCCCAGGUGCUGAGGGAUGGCGGGACCACAAAAACAGAAGGUGCCUAUUCAACAUGUAGAGGAAAGCCACCUGUCAACUAGGAACACUUGUGUUGGCCUUUUGGCUGGCCUGAGGCCCUGAUGCGAGGCUGACAGUCGGGCACACGGAACCAGACUGAGCAUCCGCUUCUUGUCAGGGGGCACUGUGUGGCUGCCGGCUACGUCUCUGACUCUCCAAUCCCAAGUGCACUGCUCCCUGGAGCCCCGUCUGCCCCUGGUGGACCUGCACCGAGGAACGUGGACCAGCAUCACACCAG